CAGCCGCCGCGGGAAUACGUAGGUGGCAAGCGUUGUCCGGAUUUAUUGGGCGUAAAGCGAGCGCAGGCGGUCAAUUAAGUCUGAUGUGAAAGCCCCCGGCUCAACCGGGGAGGGUCAUUGGAAACUGGUUGACUUGAGUGCAUAAGGGGAGAGUGGAAUUCCAUGUGUAGCGGCGAAAUGCGUAGAUAUAUGGAGGAACACCGGUGGCGAAAGCGGCUCUCUGGUCUGUCACUGACGCUGAGGCUCGAAAGCGUGGGUAGCGAACAGGAUUAGAUACCCCAGUAGUCCCUGUCUCUUAUAC
Molecule: ribosomal RNA, 301 nt
Filed under: uncultured bacterium
Lineage: Bacteria
Description: partial 16S ribosomal RNA
Rfam family: Bacterial small subunit ribosomal RNA
Source: RNAcentral